GCAGUGGGGGGUGGCAGUGGCCUCCUGACGGGCUCACACUCCUGUCCUGGGAGGGGCAGCCUGAUCUCACCUCCACCUAGUGCGUUGGUAACUGAGGACUUCUUGGCUUCUCUGGAGCCUGCAAACCUUCCCCCAUGUGUCCAGCUGAUCUUCCUACUACAAAGGGGACCGCUCACAGUAGCCUCAGCUUGGUGGUUUUGCAGGACAGCCAUCUAGGCCUGAGAUUUCUGCGUCUGGUGGAUGAAUAGCCUCAAAUGGAAGGAGUCCCACGGUAUGGGUCCGAGGUCCAGCUGUGGCCACCCAGCCAUCUGUGGCUUGCCCAGCCUCUGCAUCCCUGAUGUCUUCACUCCAGGGGCAGCCAGCAGCCCCUGGAAUCCCUUUCUCUGUAGUAACAGCAGCGAUAGCAGCUGGGGCUGACUGGCCUCUGCUAGUGGCCAGGCUUUGUGUUCUGUGCAUUUGUUCAGCUUCUCACUUGAUCCUCCCUAAGGCGAUGGGGAGGCCCCGAUAGCCCAGUUUUCCGGGUGAGGAAGUCAACAGGGAGGGUAGAUGGUGCCCAGGGUCCCACAGCUACUGAUGCCCUGAGCCAGGCUGAGCUUCCUGAAGUUCAGCCCGGAUCCCACAUUCAGACCUCUUGCUCUCAGAUAUGUGGGAUGAGCUCCUUUGUCCCAGUGCCGGCUCUGUCCUGAGGCCUCAUUGCUGGUCUGAGUGUGCUCUGCUGGGAAAAGCUUUGUGGGAGUUGCUUGGUUAACCACAGAAGAGAAAGGGCAUGUUUGGGGUGUUCCCCACAGCCCCCCUGUGCUGGUGGAAGCCUGGUUACUGUGUUUUCUAAUGUUCGUGUAUUUAAAGUGAUUUCUUUCUAAAGAUGUAACCUCCGCACCUUUCUCCUGAUUGGGUGACUCUUUUCUAAAGGUGAGAUGUCCAAGGUCAAGGCGCUGGCAGAUCCAGUGGCUGGAGAAGGCCUUCCUCCCAGGAAGGGGCAGACAAGCUCCCUGGGGCCUCUUUGACGUGCGCACUAAUCCCAUUCACCCUCGUGGCCUCACACUCCCAAAGGCCCCACCUGCAUGUGCCAUCACCUUGGAGGUUAGGCUUCAACAUCGGAAGCGUGGGAGGGAAUACAAGCAUUCAGUCAAUAGCUACCCGAUUGGGUUAGAGAGCUCAGAGCCUGAGAAUUCCCCUGUACUCUGGCUUGACUGCUGGCUGCCCCACCCGCCUCCACAGCCUCUGCCCCUGCAGGGAAACUAGAGCCAGGAC
RNAcentral lists this long non-coding RNA (1251 nucleotides) under Callithrix jacchus (white-tufted-ear marmoset). RNAcentral's name for it is "lncRNA (ENSCJAG00000086899.1)". Lineage: Eukaryota; Metazoa; Chordata; Mammalia; Primates; Cebidae. The record is from RNAcentral.